RNAcentral lists this ribosomal RNA (883 nucleotides) under uncultured Neisseria sp. Its description in RNAcentral is "bacterial SSU rRNA". The stretch from base 1 to 764 matches the Rfam family "Bacterial small subunit ribosomal RNA", at positions 28 to 873 of the family's 1533-position model. The record is from RNAcentral. Lineage: Bacteria; Pseudomonadati; Pseudomonadota; Betaproteobacteria; Neisseriales; Neisseriaceae.
AUUGAACGCUGGCGGCAGGCUUAACACAUGCAAGUCGAACGGUAACAUAAAGAAGCUUGCUUCUUUGAUGACGAGUGGCGGACGGGUGAGUAAUGCUUGGGAAUCUAGCUUAUGGAGGGGGAUAACUACGGGAAACUGUAGCUAAUACCGCGUAAUAUCGAAAGAUUAAAGUGUGGGACCUUCGGGCCACAUGCCAUAGGAUGAGCCCAAGUGGGAUUAGGUAGUUGGUGAGGUAAAGGCUCACCAAGCCGACGAUCUCUAGCUGGUCUGAGAGGAUGACCAGCCACACUGGGACUGAGACACGGCCCAGACUCCUACGGGAGGCAGCAGGGGGGAAUAUUGCGCAAUGGGGGCAACCCUGACGCAGCCAUGCCGCGUGAAUGAAGAAGGCCUUCUGGUUGUAAAUUUCUUUCGGUAGCGAGGAAGGCAUUUAGUUUAAUUGACUAGGUGAUUGACGUUAACUACAGAAGAAGCACCGGCUAACUCCGUGCCUGCAGCCGCGGUAAUUCGGAUGGUGCUAGCGUUAAUCGGAAUAACUGGGGGUAAAGGGCACUGUUGCGGUGACUUAAGUGAGGUGUGAAUGCCCCGGGCUUAAUUUGGAAUUGCAUUUCAUAUUGUUUCGUUGAUUACUUUAUUGAGUGGUUGAAUUCCUGGUGUUGCGGUGAAAUGUGGAUGGAUGGGGUGGAAUCCUGAGGGUGUGGUGUCUGUUUUGGUUGUGCUGUGUGCUUGUUUGUUUGUGUGGUGGUUGUGUAUGUGUGUGUCUUGUGUAUGUUGUGUGUGUGUGUUUGUGUGUGUGUGUUUUUUCUGUUCUGUUGCUGCGUGGGGCCUUAGCUAGUGAUGUUCUUUUUGUUGUGUGUGUGUAUGUGGUUGUGUGUGUGUUGGA